AAUGAUGUUAUUUUUCUG
This 18-nucleotide microRNA is filed under the name Corchorus olitorius. RNAcentral describes it as "cin-miR-4198-". Lineage: Eukaryota; Viridiplantae; Streptophyta; Magnoliopsida; Malvales; Malvaceae. The record is from RNAcentral.